AGAGAACCAGAGAUGGUCGUACCCACAGGAGAGUUUCAUCAAGAUCAACUUUGAUGGUGCCUACGAUAAAAGGCAGAAUCGGUCGGCUUCGGGUAUUGUGGCCAGAGAUUCGGAAGGAAAUAUCCUCUUCUCAUGUUCAGAGAUUCAUUCUAAUAUCUCAUCGGCCUUUACUGCUGAAGCAAUAGCCUGCUGGAGAGCAGUCCAAAUAGGAACCGGGAAGGGAUGGCAGUUUCUGAUUCUUGAAGGAGAUUCCCUCGCAAUCAUCAAAAAUGCAAUUCAAAGGGUCAAGACAGAUCGAUGGUAGGGGCAUACAUUUAUGACAUUCAACAGAAAAUAUAUGGAUUUGAUAAUAUCAGAUUUCAAAAUACACCUAGAUCUGCAAAUAAUCUUACACAUAUCUUAGCAACAGAAACGUUAAAAAGAGGAGAAGAGAUUUACCUGGAUAGGGGAGUUCCUGAGUAUGCUAUGGAUCAAGCUCGGUACGAUGGGAGAAGAGGACCAGAUUAGAAGUUUUCAGGAGAGGAAGAGUGGAGAAAGGAAGCCUCAGAACAGUAAAGGAAACGGAUCGAUUUUCUUGGCAUAUUUUGAAAAUGGAAUCAUCAAAAAUGAAUUGAAAUGACAGAAAGACUGGAAGACAAUUUCCAAACAACUUCUGAUUGGGCAACG
RNAcentral lists this long non-coding RNA (666 nucleotides) under Gossypium raimondii (Peruvian cotton). RNAcentral's name for it is "long non-coding RNA (GRAI_LNC001147)". The record is from RNAcentral. Lineage: Eukaryota; Viridiplantae; Streptophyta; Magnoliopsida; Malvales; Malvaceae.